UGGGGAAUAUUGCACAAUGGGGGAAACCCUGAUGCAGCGACGCCGCGUGAACGAAGAAGGUAUUCGUAUCGUAAAGUUCUGUCCUAUGGGAAGAUAAUGACAGUACCAUAGAAGAAAGCUCCGGCUAAAUACGUGCCAGCAGCCGCGGUAAUACGUAUGGAGCGAGCGUUGUCCGGAAUUAUUGUGCGUAAAGGGUACGCAGGCGGUUUAAUAAGUCGAAUGUUAAAGAUCGGGGCUCAACCCCGUAAAGCAUUGGAAACUGAUAAACUUGAGUAGUGGAGAGGAAAGUGGAAUUCCUAGUGUAGUGGUGAAAUACGUAGAUAUUAGGAGGAAUACCAGUAGCGAAGGCGACUUUCUGGACACAAACUGACGCUGAGGUACGAAAGCGUGGGGAGCAAACAGG
RNAcentral lists this ribosomal RNA (403 nucleotides) under bacterium. Its description in RNAcentral is "partial 16S ribosomal RNA". It matches the Rfam family "Bacterial small subunit ribosomal RNA", at positions 355 to 776 of the family's 1533-position model. The record is from RNAcentral.